Molecule: ribosomal RNA, 465 nt
Filed under: uncultured bacterium
Lineage: Bacteria
Description: partial 16S ribosomal RNA
Rfam family: Bacterial small subunit ribosomal RNA
Source: RNAcentral
GACGAACGCUGGCGGCGUGCUUAACACAUGCAAGUCGAACGGAAAGGCCCCUUUGGGGGUACUCGAGUGGCGAACGGGUGAGUAACACGUGAGUAACCUGCCCUUGACUUCAGGAUAACUUCAGGAAACUGGGGCUAAUACCGGAUAGGAAUCCUUGCUGCAUGGUGGGGGUUGGAAAGCUUCGGCGGUUUUGGAUGGACUCGCGGCUUAUCAGCUUGUUGGUGGGGUAGUGGCUUACCAAGGCUUUGACGGGUAGCCGGCCUGAGAGGGCGACCGGCCACAUUGGGACUGAGAUACGGCCCAGACUCCUACGGGAGGCAGCGGUGGGGAAUAUUGCACAAUGGGCGGAAGCCUGAUGCAGCAACGCCGCGUGCGGGAUGACGGCCUUCGGGUUGUAAACCGCUUUCAGCAGGGGCGAAGCUUGUGGUGACGGUACCUGCAGAAGAAGCACCGGCUAACUACGUG